RNAcentral lists this ribosomal RNA (497 nucleotides) under uncultured bacterium. Its description in RNAcentral is "partial 16S ribosomal RNA". It matches the Rfam family "Bacterial small subunit ribosomal RNA", at positions 28 to 507 of the family's 1533-position model. The record is from RNAcentral.
GAUGAACGCUGGCGGCGUGCCUAAUACAUGCAAGUCGAGCGAACAGACGAGGAGCUUGCUCCUCUGACGUUAGCGGCGGACGGGUGAGUAACACGUGGAUAACCUACCUAUAAGACUGGGAUAACUUCGGGAAACCGGAGCUAAUACCGGAUAAUAUAUUGAACCGCAUGGUUCAAUAGUGAAAGACGGUUUUGCUGUCACUUAUAGAUGGAUCCGCGCCGCAUUAGCUAGUUGGUAAGGUAACGGCUUACCAAGGCGACGAUGCGUAGCCGACCUGAGAGGGUGAUCGGCCACACUGGAACUGGGACACGGUCCAGACUCCUACGGGAGGCAGCAGUAGGGAAUCUUCCGCAAUGGGCGAAAGCCUGACGGAGCAACGCCGCGUGAGUGAUGAAGGUCUUCGGAUCUUAAAACUCUGUUAUUAGGGAAGAACAAAUGUGUAAGUAACUAUGCACGUCUUGACGGUACCUAAUCAGAAAGCCACGGCUAACUACGUG